AGUGAUGCAUUAACUCCUAUAAUUUGGAGGGAUCAAUCCCAUCUUGAUUCACAUACAGACUUCGCAAGUACUUGACUGUACCCAAUAGCCUUUCGUUACUAUAUUAGAAAUACAGGUAGUCUGACAUCAAAGCACAGUGAGUUACUUACAAAUCACUAUAGUGAUUUAAUAUCUGAAGGACACUUAUGUCCAUAUAUUUUGCGAGCUACUC
Molecule: long non-coding RNA, 211 nt
Filed under: Elaeis guineensis (African oil palm)
Lineage: Eukaryota; Viridiplantae; Streptophyta; Magnoliopsida; Arecales; Arecaceae
Description: long non-coding RNA (EGUI_LNC012294)
Source: RNAcentral